AGCCCGGCUAGCCUUGUGGUUAAGGUGUUCGAUUCACAAUCGUUCACCCCGGGUUCGAUCCCCGUGGGGCUC
This 72-nucleotide transfer RNA is filed under the name Fasciola gigantica. RNAcentral's name for it is "tRNA-Val". The record is from RNAcentral. Lineage: Eukaryota; Metazoa; Platyhelminthes; Trematoda; Plagiorchiida; Fasciolidae.